Molecule: long non-coding RNA, 8662 nt
Filed under: Brassica napus (rape)
Lineage: Eukaryota; Viridiplantae; Streptophyta; Magnoliopsida; Brassicales; Brassicaceae
Description: long non-coding RNA (BNAP_LNC002166)
Source: RNAcentral
CUCUAUACUUUCCCUAGUCCCCAAGGCCCAAGCCAGAUCUCUCUCUCUCUCUCUAUAAAUCUCUCUCGGUCUCUACUACCAUCUCUGAUCCAACCUAUUUCCCCAUUGAACUCGCUGUUUUCUUCCAAAGAUGGCGAUGAUAGAGCAAAGGCCGAAGACGAAGAUCGUGUGUACCGUUGGUCCCGCUUCCAGAUCCGUUGAGAUGGUCGAGAAGCUUCUCAGGGCUGGCAUGAACGUCGCUAGGUUUAACUUCUCUCACGGAUCUCAUGAGUACCACCAGGAGACUCUCGAUAAUCUCCGUCAAGCUAUGCUCAACACUGGUAUCCUCUGCGCCGUCAUGCUCGAUACCAAGGUUAGUUAUGAUCUCUGAUCUGGAUUCAUUCGACUGUGAUCUGACUUUAUUAGGGUUUGUGAGAUUUUUCUGCAGCUUUCGUUUGGUUUCUGAUUGGUUUAUUCCAGUUUUCGAUCUGCAACAGUGACGCGUGUAUGUUUAUUGUUAUUGUGCCAUUUUUGUAAUCAUCUUAUGCCUGGUACAUGUGUUACUGUUUUGUCUCUUUAUGCCAUUUCCUGUAGAUUAAAAAAAAAAACUAUUAGUAUUGGUUUAUUCUGAGAAUUAGUAAAUUUAUUCUGAAUCUGUGUUUAAAAAGGCGCUCGCCUUAUGCGCCAAGGCGCAAGGCGCACUCAGGCGAUAGCUCCAUCGCCAUGCACAUCCCAGGCGAGGGUAUGGUCCCUAAGGCGCUCGCCUAGUGCGCUUUGGCCAUAAGGCGGUGCCUUCAAAGGCGACGCAAAGGCGCGCGUUGGAGACCCUAUGUUAACCGACACUAAACCAGGUACGAAACCAAACCCUGCUUUAACUAAUUCACCAAUCUUAUAACAAAACUUCAAAAAUAUUCAUCAAAACCCUAGCUCCCUCUUCAAAGUUAAAACCAAAGGUCAAAAAUUCUCACAAAACAUAGAUCUCACAGUGUUUUGCUUAAGGUUAGAGUAUUAUCUACUCUUCUCUAGUCUCAUAGGUUCUUCUUCUUAUUAUUAUGACUACUUGUGUUUCUUGGUUACAGUCUAGAAUGCACUGCGAUUGCUUAUCUCUGUAAUUUUGGUGCUUCUUUUCUUUUAUACAGUAAGUGAUUGACGCUUACGUAAUUGACGCUUACUAGUAUAUUGUAGCUUGAGGACUCUUGUGAUCAAGUUGAUGUAUAAUCUUUGUUUGUAACUGAAACAAAUCUAAUAUAUAUUGAAAUUCAUUUUUAACAUGUAUUUUAUUGCUCUUUAUGGUAUAGUUUGUGUUUGCAUGUUCUUUACGUUAUUGAAUGCUUUAUUUGCAUGUUCAUCAUCAUAGUAAUUUUUUUUUUUUUUUUUAUUAAUCACAGUUUCAAGUGGUCUUCAAGGCGAGCGCCUCGAUGCGCCAUGGCACAAGGCGCAAGGCACAUACUUCAUCGCCAUGGAGCGCCAUACGCCUUUUUAAACACAGUUCUGAAUUAUAAAUCUAGAUCUAUGAGACUCUUUUUUUUUUUGUAGUAGCUUAAAUGUCCCCAGUUACAACUUGAAUUACAACAAAUCAAUUGAGAAAAGUUGAAGCUUGUUAUAGAGGAUGAUGUUCCCCACUUAGAUCUCUUAAAUUAGAAUAUCAUCAACUCGUGAGACCCUGAUUUUUGUAGUGAUGAAUAUGUUAUUACAAACAUUUUUCUUUUGACUAACAUGUUAUAACAAAUUUGUUAGAUGUUAGAUUAUGUUCGUGUAUUGUUCUCUCUCGUCUGUGUAGAACUUUAUAACCAAAGUUCAACUCACGUUGGUGUUUAAUUAUUUUUUUUUCUGCUUGACAUGGUUCUUGUUUAUUAUAAAUGUCACACCUGCUUUCUGUAUGUUUAGAUUAAGGCAUACAUGUCCACAAUUAAAGAGACCUGUGAUUGCUGAGUUAGAAAAAGCUAGCUUUGGUAGACAUGUUCUUGAAUUGUUCUCUUGUCUCUGACUAUGGUUUCUUGGCCAGAAACUAUAGUUAGUGUGUGAAGUAGAAGUUAUACCCAAAUUUCACUUGAUGCUUUAACUUAUUUUGUUGUUUCUGUUGAACAUUUCUCCUGUUAACUUCUUUCUUGUACAUGUAAAUGUAUAAACUGAGGCAGAUCUAUUUUGGUUGUCUGAUCAAACUAACGGGACUGUUCUUUAUUUUUCUCAUAAAGGGUCCAGAGAUCCGAACCGGAUUCUUGAAAGAUGGGAAACCAAUCCAGUUGAAACAAGGCCAAGAGAUCACCAUCUCCACUGACUACGACUUGCAGGGAGACGAGGAAACAAUCUGCAUGAGCUACAAGAAGUUGGCUGAGGAUGUGAACCCAGGGAUGGUUAUCCUCUGUGCUGACGGUACAAUCUCGUUACUGGUCCUCUCCUGUGACACAGAGAACGGCACAGUCCGUUGCCGCUGCGAGAACUCUGCCAUGCUUGGUGAGAGGAAGAACGUUAAUCUCCCAGGUGUUGUUGUGGACCUCCCAACUCUAACUGAGAAAGACAAAGAAGACAUCAUGAAGUGGGGAGUCCCGAAUCAGAUCGAUAUGAUCGCUUUGUCUUUUGUCAGAAAAGGUUCGGACUUGGUUCAGGUCAGGAAACUGUUAGGAGAUCAUGCCAAGAACAUUCUUCUCAUGUCAAAGGUAUGUUGCUCUCUUUAAGGUUUCAGAAACUACAUGAACUCCUGUUUUGAUUGUGAUUGGUUUUGUCUGUGCUAGGUUGAGAACCAAGAAGGUGUGGCGAACUUCGAUGACAUUCUUGUCAACUCCGACGCGUUUAUGAUUGCAAGAGGAGAUCUCGGCAUGGAGAUCCCAAUCGAGAAGAUCUUCCUAGCUCAGAAAGUGAUGAUCUACAAAUGCAACAUCCAGGGAAAACCAGUGGUCACAGCGACUCAGAUGCUCGAGUCCAUGAUCAAAUCCCCUCGACCCACAAGAGCUGAAGCCACUGACGUAGCAAACGCAGUCCUCGACGGCACCGACUGUGUCAUGCUCAGCGGAGAAACCGCAGCUGGAGCUUACCCUGAGCUAGCUGUACGCACGAUGGCCAAGAUCUGCGUUGAAGCCGAGAGCACGCUUGACUACGGAGACGUCUUCAAGAGGAUCAUGCAGUACUCUCCGGUUCCAAUGUCCCCGCUGGAGUCACUGGCCUCCUCUGCAGUCAGAACAGCUAACUCGGCUAGAGCCACGCUCAUCAUGGUCCUAACCAGGGGAGGAAGCACGGCGAGGCUUGUGGCUAAAUACAGACCAGGGAUGCCUAUUUUGUCAGUCGUUGUUCCCGAGAUGAAAACAGACUUCUUUGACUGGUCUUGCAGCGACGAAUCGCCGGCGAGGCACAGUCUCAUCUUCCGUGGGUUGAUUCCGGUGCUGUACGCAGGGUCUGCUAGAGCCUCGCAUGAUGAGUCCACAGAAGAAGCUAUUGAGUUUGCGACUCAGCAUGGGAAAGAGAAGCAGCUGUGUAAGACUGGAGACUCUGUUGUUGCUCUGCUCCGAGUUGGUAAUGCUUCUCUAAUCAAGAUCUUGACCGUCAAGUGAUGAUUGAUGAUUCACGAUCUUUAAAAAGGAGUCCCGUUUUUGGCGUUUGGCGGUUGGGGGAAACGCAACUAUAAUCGGUUUUUGUUAUGAAUUUUUUUUAUUCAAGAUUGUGAUUACAUAUCUUGAGAUAGGAAACUCAAGUUCUCUUUCUUGCUAAUUACAACUACUGUGGUGACCAGUGAAUCCACUUACGGCUCUCUUUGUUUUGGAUUAUUGGUUGUAUGGAACUAAUCAAUCAUACACGUAUCUAUUAUCAUGAUUUUCUUCUUUUUUAUUUAUUUGGUUAUUAACCUUUUUUGUUGCUAAAAAGUAGAGAUGUCAAACAGGUUUACCCAUCCCGUUCCGUCCCGUACCGCAGCGGGUUAGUCGUCGAGCGGGUUACAGCGGGCCUGUCCCGCGCCGGCUGCGGUCUUCAAAAUGCCGGUCCAAACCCGUACUGCAAAAUAUAUAGGACUUCGCGGGCCGUCCCGCGGGACGCCUCCUUAUCAAACCGCCUACUACAGUUUUUUUCAUGAAUGCUCAAGUAUAAGAGUUGUGUAAGAGAAUUGAAAAGAGCUCAUUUAGCUUCACUAAAGACUUAUCAAAAUCAAUGCCACAAAGCUCCGUUUGUGCUUGCGUUCUUGAGUUAAAAGCCUUCUUUUGUUAUCAGCAUAAGCUUUUGUUGAGUUUGAAUCUGAUUGAGUUAUUAUCUUUGUAAUAAGUUGGCUCAAGUGUUUUAUGUCUUCAUCAAACCAUCUCUCUUUUUAAUUAUUUGGAUUGCAAAGAAAAUCGUGAAUCACUUUACCAAAUUAUACAAGUGACGUUUAAUACAACAUAACUUUUCUCCUAAACAACACCACUGUAACCAAAUUUAAUUUUAGAAAAACACCACUUCACAAUACUGAAAACAAAACCAAUCAACUUAAACAAGAAAUAUCACAUUGUAAUAAAGCAAUUCAUAGUUGUGUGUAAUAAAAAGAGAAAACCAAAUCAAAACAACACCAGAGCUCGAAUCGUCAUCGCCGGAGCUGGAGUCGUCAUCGCCGGAGCUCGAACCAUCAUCAUUGGAGCUCGAAUCAUGCAUCAUCGCCGGAACUCCUUAUGUUUUAUGGGAGAAAAAUCACAAGAAUCGUUUUCUAUCUCUCUCUCUCUCUCUCUCUCUCUCUCUCUCUCAAUGUUUUAGGCGAAAGCAGAAAUGGAGACUUAGGGUUGCGGGUCUUCAAAAUCCCGCGGAUUAAGCCCAUCCCGCUUUCGGCCCGUCCUACUUUUGACCCGUCCCGCUUUUGACCCGUCCCGUUUUGAACCCGUCCCGCGAGGCCCACAAUUUUGCGGGCUUACCAAAUGGAGGCCCAAUCCCGCCCCGCAGCAAGCCUUUACGGGCCAGGCCCGCGGUCCAGGUCCUUGAUUGCCAUCCCUACUAAAAAGGUUAUUAUCUUUCUUUUAUUAUAUAGGUCGGAGAUAAUGGGCAUUUGUAUAUUUAUUUCAUGCUUUUGUGUUUUUGGAAAAAGACAGAGUAUGAAGACAAAAAGAAAGAAGACAGCGCAUGAAUCAAUCGCCCAUACAAAAUCAUGCCGACAAAGAUAACUUAAUCAUCACUAUGUGGGAGUGGGCUUCAAUAUAAUUUUCAUGUAAACGAAGUCAAACAAAAUAAUAGAAACGCACUGUCAUAAUUUGAUCAUCUCUGUAUAUGAACGAGAUUGAAUCAUUAUCGCCCCAUACAGAACCCAUUCAUGCCAAUACUAAAUCAUUUUUCUUUCUUAAAAUACUUUUACUAAAGUUCCAUGGAUCAUCUCCGCACAGCACCAAUGAAAGAAGAUUGAAACGAAGAAUAACAUAUAGUACCUCCAAGGAUUUUUCAACAGUCUUUUGAGUAAAUAAACAGCAUUGUUAUGUACAUAAAAUGCAGCGAAAUGAAAUACAGAGAAACAAAAUGAAGAGCUAGAAAAUGAGAAAAUACAAGACAAGGCAACAAGAACAGAACCAACAUUCUUAGUUUCUGGAUGUUUAGUUAUUUUAUCAGCGAGAAGAACCAUAAGAUCUUGAGUAGACAUUGUUCUCACCAGACUGAGCUGAUCCAGAUGAUGAAGGAGAAGACGAAGAAGAAGAAGAAGAAGAAGAGAAGAAACCACUGAACGGCCAUGGAAUCGAAAACCUCCUCCCAUUCCCACUCCUCACAUCCUCCUCUCUUCCUCUCUCCACACUCCCCACAUCCUCAACAACCUCCUCUCUGUUACUACUCUCAGGAACAGUUCUCGUUCCUCUCUCAGACACAACCUUACUCUCAUCAUCACCAUCAUCAUUCCCAGAAGGAAGCUCAAACCGACAAACAGGACACGAGCUAUGAAUCUCAAGCCACGGAACAAUACAUUUCACAUGAAACUUAUGCUUACACGGCAUCUCCUUAGCCUCCACGCCUCUCUCAAACUCAUCCAAACAAACCGAACACUGCAACAACGGCUCCGUCACUUUAACCGUCGGCAAAGCUUCAACGGCUUCUUUACGAGCAGGCGGAGUCCCUUGCCUGUUGGGAUCAUUCUCAGCCAAAUGCUGAAGCAAAAGAUCCAAACCAGGUCCGAUGAAGUAGUCUCCAAGCGAAGUCAACGCAGAAUGAGUCUGCGUUUGAUCUCUAACAACGAGGGACUGGUUAUAAGGAUUGAUCAUGAUCACUCUCUCGUUAUUAUCAGAGCUUUCGUACUCUGAAGCAAUCCCUGCACGUAUCCCUUGAAGGAGCUGCAGUAUAUUCCCUGAGCUUCUUCGUCUUCUCCUUAACAGAGAUUCAAACUCUCUGUCCAAAUCAAUCUCUCCACCGUGACGCCUAGCUCUAUGAUGAUGAUGAUGAUCAACAUUGUUGGAUUCGUCUUCGUUGUCUUCUUCUUCUUCAACAAACUCUGCUCUUCUGAACCUUCUCCGUCUACGAGGACUGCUCAUCAUUCCAAGCAAGAUUGGUGCCCAUAGGGUCAUCGCACGGUCUGUUGUUCCAAACUCUGUUUCAGGGUCUUGAACGUCUCUUAAGCCUCCGUUACCGUUACUGUUACCGCUCAUUUCUUCGACGAAUCCGCUUUGGCAAAAGGGGCAUUUGAUCUCGGAUUCGAUUGUUGGGUUCACCAUCUGUGAACACAUGUGACACCAGUACCUAGCCGCCAUUGUUUCUUCCAUUGUCUCCUCCUCCUUCAAACAGACAAUGAAAAAUCAUAUCUUCAAUACAGAUCUAAGAAUCGUGUAAAGUUUCGAACUUUACAAUAGUUUCAAUCUUAAAGGAGGAAACUUUGUUAUCAAUAUCCAAAAUUUAAUGAUUUUAACAAAUCAAAAUACGAGAUUCAGACAAAAGUCAAGCUUCUUACACAAAGUUCUUGUCUUUUUUUUUUACUCCUGUCUUAAAAACAUGAAAACAAAACCCAGAACGAAGACAAGAUCAUACCUUUUAAAUGUCUUCUGCUUCUUUUCUGAAGACCCAAGAAAAUUCAAGUCUUGUUCUUCCUUUGUUAUGACUCUUCUGGAGAAAUUAAACCCCCCAAAAAAGCUCAGCUUUUGUUGUACCUCCUUGUUGGUCUGGCGAAGGGCUGGAGAAGAAACAAACAAACAAGAAAGAAAAGAGUGGAUGGAAACGAAACAACCCAACCACGUCCUCUUCUAAACCCCCCAACUCCUUCCUUUGUUGUCUCCUCUUACUUUUCUUAAUUAGCAUUUAUUCUGUUAUCCUACUAUAUAAAAGGAGCUAAAUCCUAGCUUCCUAAGCCUUGCCACAUGAACAAAAUAAUCAGAACCAACCAUUAUGCCAUGUUAUUCCGGACUGAACUUUAAAAAAAAAAAAUCAACCAUUAAAAUAUGCGAAGAGUCACGGUUUAACCUGGUUCAACUCCAGUUACAUCAUAAUAAAACAAUGCAUGCAUUGAUUGUUGAUUAUUAGUCUUCUAGCUACCACAUCUUUGCCAUCCUAAAUCAAAAUCGAUUUUUACAACUUUAACUUGCCCCAUACUUAAUAUUCUUAUAGCUGGUGAACAAUUUAAUUUAGGAAAUCGUUAUAUUUCAUGUCAAAAAUGCAUACUGUAUUCAUUGAAAAUUAAAUAACAUAUAUUCUACCAUUAGGAUCAAGAACUCUAAUCUGAAGACUAUUAUAUUCAUCCCCUCUCACUCUGAAAAAACCACCACCGCCAACCGUUCAAGAUUUUGUGUAAGUCAAUAUUUGAAAGUCACAAUUUUGUCAAUUUUUUGGCAUAAGUGAUAUGUUUAAGAGUUGGAUAGUUAAGUCCGUAUGCGGUUGGGGACGUGGGGUUUGGCUCACCUUCCACUGUUUAUUUUCAAUUGUUUUAAUAAUAGAUUCAUAUUGAUAAUCUGUGCGAACAAACGUAUACGAUUUUAGUUGGUUAAGAUUAAACAUAGACCGACAAUCUUCCGUCUUUAGCUAUUGGUCUCCGCCAAAAAAAUUUGAUUUAAUAUAAUAGUUCCUGCCUGCUAAGCUACUACAAUUGUAGUUCACGUCUAUCGGUCAUAUAAAAUAUUUAGUUUUUUUUUGGCUUUAUAAGAUUUUAGUUUGUAAUUAAUCUCAUGGUUCGAUUUUAUCCAUUGAGACCUUUUUCACUAUGUUUUAUUAUCAAACCAUUUCACUUUGCCUAACAUUUAAAUAUUCUUUCCUUUGUUUAAGGAUUGAUUGUUCCUCAAUACCAUGGUCAAACCAACCGCCAAAGAUCUUCCGCUUAUGGGAGGUAUUUUGAAUUUACAAGUGCAUUUUUGAAUCAAAAACAUUAUUAGUAUUGAUAUAUUAAUUUAAUACUUUAAUCCAAAUCUUUUGAGCACUGAGGUUUAAAGUGCUACCUUCUUACACCUUCAUGGUUUAAAAUGCGAUUUUCCCCUUUUUCUUUCUGUCUUCUCGAACCAUUGUUGGGCCAUGGUUUUCGAAACAUAAAUAUCUCGGAUUGAUUUUUUCCUAGUCAAAAAUAUUUUGUCAAAUUGUAGUAACUAAUUUGCACGGUUCUUUUUCGAACUAAUUUGCACCGUUUUAUCCGACCAACCUAUUUCCCCAUUGAACUCGCUGUUUUCUUCCAAAGAUGGCGAUGAUAGAGCAAAGGCCGAAGACGAAGAUCGUGUGUACCGUUGGUCCCGCUUCCAGAUCCGUUGAGAUGGUCGAGAAGCUUCUCAGGGCUGGCAUGAACGUCGCUAGG